CAGGAAAGUGGUCACUAAUUUGAAUUUUGAAUUUUGAAAAGAUUGGGUCGGAUCCCUUCUCUACCUGGAAUGGUGACGCGCGGUCUGCUUUCAGCACCUCAGCAAAAGAUUUCAAUCCCACUAUUCCAACCAGAAUUUGCACACCGCAUCUGCAUUGAGGACAGUUGAAGAGAAGUGUGCAUGCGGAAGGGUCGUCCGAAACAUUGUGACUAUCUGGGAGGCACACUGGAGGAACAGGUUUGGCUUUUUCAAAAGGACUUUCCAGCGGAACCACCAAUAGCUCAAAGAUUGCUGUCAUCAUGCGCCACCAUCCCCCACCUUGGUAGCCCUCCGGAAUGAAAAUGCGUUUGAAGGAAUUUCUGUUUACCUCAGAUAGAACAAGCGUUCGACCUCUUCAAUUCCGACAGAGCACGAUAUAGAGGUGUUGGGCAUUAUCAAUCAAUUUCUUGCCCCGCAUGACUCCACUUUUAAGCCAAUAAAAAUCACUUAAUGCGUCCACCAACCAUUUGGCCUCAGCUUUAUUCAGAGAGAUUGUGGUGCGGGAGCCCCUCCCAUUUUCACUAAUUCUUGACCCAUCAAGCUUUUUACCGUCACAAGCAACAUCAAAAGAUUUCCGGUCAACAAGAAUGAAACGUUUGGAAACAUUCGAGGACAUUACAGGCUGGAAAAAAAUUAUUAAGGCAACGCCAGACGAGGCCGACCUCAGUCCUAGAGACCUUAGCAAGACCGAAAAAUAUUCUCCAAGCAGAGGGAAGGAUAAGAAAAUAAGAUGGAAUGGGUAGUUGUGACGAAGGAGCAAGAGGGAUUAGAGAGAGAGUUUAGAGAGAAAGAGAGGGAUCACAUUACCCCAAAUGCUUGUAGUUUUGUCUUCUCAAAGUAAGGAUGCAAAAUUACGAAAUCUAACUUUCCUAUAUGUUU
Molecule: long non-coding RNA, 918 nt
Filed under: Carica papaya (papaya)
Lineage: Eukaryota; Viridiplantae; Streptophyta; Magnoliopsida; Brassicales; Caricaceae
Description: long non-coding RNA (CPAP_LNC006486)
Source: RNAcentral